RNAcentral lists this ribosomal RNA (233 nucleotides) under uncultured bacterium. RNAcentral's name for it is "partial 16S ribosomal RNA". It matches the Rfam family "Bacterial small subunit ribosomal RNA", at positions 330 to 582 of the family's 1533-position model. The record is from RNAcentral.
UCCAGCCUACGGGGGGCAGCAGUCGGGAAUAUUGCGCAAUGGAGGAAACUCUGACGCAGUGACGCCGCGUAUAGGAAGAAGCUUUUCGGAAUGUAAACUAUUGUCGUUAGGGAAGAGAAAGGACAGUACCUAAGGAGGAAGCUCCGGCUAACUACGUGCCAGCAGCCGCGGUAAUACGUAGGGAGCGAGCGUUAUCCGGGAUUAUUGGGUGUAAAGGGUGCGUAGACGGGAAA